UACGUAGGCAGCAAGCGUUGUUCGGAAUUACUGGGCGUAAAGAGUGUGUAGGCGGUGUUCUAAGUUUGUCGUGAAAUCUCCCGGCUUAACUGGGAGGGUGCGGCGAAAACUGGAAUGCUAGAGGAUGGGAGAGGUAAGCGGAAUUCCUGGUGUAGCGGUGAAAUGCGUAGAUAUCGGAAGGAACACCAGUGGCGAAAGCGGCUCCUGGUCCAGCACCGACGUCAGGCACGAAAGCGUGGGGAGCAAACAGG
RNAcentral lists this ribosomal RNA (251 nucleotides) under uncultured bacterium. RNAcentral describes it as "partial 16S ribosomal RNA". It matches the Rfam family "Bacterial small subunit ribosomal RNA", at positions 524 to 776 of the family's 1533-position model. The record is from RNAcentral.